UACAGAGGUCCCAAGCGUUGUUCGGAUUCAUUGGGCGUAAAGGGCGCGUAGGUGGCCCGGUCAGUUCGUGGUGAAAGCGCGGGGCUCAACCCUGCGUCGGCCAUGAAUACUGCCGCGGCUGGAGCACUGUAGAGGCAGGCGGAAUUCCGGGUGUAGCGGUGGAAUGCGUAGAGAUCCGGAAGAACACCGGUGGCGAAGGCGGCCUGCUGGGCAGUUGCUGACACUGAGGCGCGACAGCGUGGGGAGCAAACAGG
This 254-nucleotide ribosomal RNA is filed under the name uncultured bacterium. RNAcentral describes it as "partial 16S ribosomal RNA". It matches the Rfam family "Bacterial small subunit ribosomal RNA", at positions 524 to 776 of the family's 1533-position model. The record is from RNAcentral.